This 451-nucleotide ribosomal RNA is filed under the name uncultured bacterium. RNAcentral describes it as "bacterial SSU rRNA". It matches the Rfam family "Bacterial small subunit ribosomal RNA", at positions 335 to 800 of the family's 1533-position model. The record is from RNAcentral.
ACUCCUACGGGAGGCAGCAGUGGGGAAUAUUGCACAAUGGGCGCAAGCCUGAUGCAGCGACGCCGCGUGGGGAUGACGGCCUUCGGGUUGUAAACCUCUUUCAGUACCGACGAAGCGCAAGUGACGGUAGGUACAGAAGAAGCACCGGCCAACUACGUGCCAGCAGCCGCGGUAAUACGUAGGGUGCGAGCGUUGUCCGGAAUUACUGGGCGUAAAGAGCUCGUAGGUGGUUUGUCGCGUUGUCCGUGAAAUCCCACGGCUUAACUGUGGGCGUGCGGGCGAUACGGGCAGACUGGAGUACUGCAGGGGAGACUGGAAUUCCUGGUGUAGCGGUGGAAUGCGCAGAUAUCAGGAGGAACACCGGUGGCGAAGGCGGGUCUCUGGGCAGUAACUGACGCUGAGGAGCGAAAGCGUGGGGAGCGAACAGGAUUAGAUACCCUGGUAGCUACGA